Molecule: ribosomal RNA, 253 nt
Filed under: uncultured bacterium
Lineage: Bacteria
Description: partial 16S ribosomal RNA
Rfam family: Bacterial small subunit ribosomal RNA
Source: RNAcentral
UACGUAGGGGGCUAGCGUUGUCCGGAUUUAUUGGGCGUAAAGAGCGUGUAGGCGGCCAGAUAGGUCCGUUGUGAAAACUGGAGGCUUAACCUCCAGCUGUCGAUGGAAACCAUCUGGCUAGAGUCCGGAAGAGGAGAGUGGAAUUCCUGGUGUGGCGGUGAAAUGCGCAGAUAUCAGGAAGAACACCCGUGGCGAAGGCGGCUCUCUGGGACGGUACUGACGCUGAGACGCGAAAGCGUGGGGAGCGAACAGG